RNAcentral lists this transfer RNA (85 nucleotides) under Felis catus (domestic cat). It matches the Rfam family "tRNA". Rfam says of the family: Transfer RNA (tRNA) molecules are approximately 80 nucleotides in length. Their secondary structure includes four short double-helical elements and three loops (D, anti-codon, and T loops). Lineage: Eukaryota; Metazoa; Chordata; Mammalia; Carnivora; Felidae. The record is from Rfam by way of RNAcentral.
GCCUGAGUAGCUCAGUCGGUUGGGCAUCCGAUUUCGGCUCAGGUCAUGAUCUCACCGUCCGUGAGUUCAAGCCCCGCCUCCGGCU